Molecule: ribosomal RNA, 536 nt
Filed under: uncultured bacterium
Lineage: Bacteria
Description: bacterial SSU rRNA
Rfam family: Bacterial small subunit ribosomal RNA
Source: RNAcentral
UAUGCAACCUACCUCUAACAGGGGGAUAGCCCCGAGUAAAUCGGGAUUAAUACCUCAUAACAUUAUGUUAUCGCAUGGUAACAUAAUUAAAGCUCCGGCGGUUAGAGAUGGGCAUGCGUGACAUUAGCUGGUUGGUGAGGUAACGGCUCACCAAGGCGACGAUGUCUAGGGGUUCUGAGAGGAUGAUCCCCCACACUGGUACUGAGACACGGACCAGACUCCUACGGGAGGCAGCAGUAAGGAAUAUUGCGCAAUGGAGGCAACUCUGACGCAGCCAUGCCGCGUGCAGGAAGACGGCCUUAUGGGUUGUAAACUGCUUUUAUUUGGGAAUAACUCCCUGUUUGCGAACGGGGCUGAAGGUACCAAAUGAAUAAGCACCGGCUAACUCCGUGCCAGCAGCCGCGGUAAUACGGAGGGUGCAAGCGUUAUCCGGAUUCAUUGGGUUUAAAGGGUGCGCAGGCGGAUUAUUAAGUCAGUGGUGAAAUCCCGGGGCUCAACCUCGGAACUGCCAUUGAUACUGGUAAUCUUGAAUUCGG